Molecule: ribosomal RNA, 468 nt
Filed under: uncultured bacterium
Lineage: Bacteria
Description: partial 16S ribosomal RNA
Rfam family: Bacterial small subunit ribosomal RNA
Source: RNAcentral
GACGAACGCUGGCGGCGUGCUUAACACAUGCAAGUCGAACGGAAAGGCCCUGCUUUUGUGGGGUGCUCGAGUGGCGAACGGGUGAGUAACACGUGAGUAACCUGCCCUUGACUUUGGGAUAACUUCAGGAAACUGGGGCUAAUACCGGAUAGGAGCUCCUGCUGCAUGGUGGGGGUUGGAAAGUUUCGGCGGUUGGGGAUGGACUCGCGGUUUAUCAGCUUGUUGGUGGGGUAGUGGCUUACCAAGGCUUUAACGGGUAGCCGGCCUGAGAGGGUGACCGGCCACAUUGGGACUGAGAUACGGCCCAGACUCCUACGGGAGGCAGCAGUGGGGAAUAUUGCACAAUGGGCGGAAGCCUGAUGCAGCAACGCCGCGUGCGGGAUGACGGCCUUCGGGUUGUAAACCGCUUUCGCCUGUGACGAAGCGUGAGUGACGGCAAUGGGUAAAGAAGCACCGGCUAACUACGUG